GACGAACGCUGGCGGCGUGCUUAACACAUGCAAGUCGAACGGAAAGGCCCUGCUUUUGUGGGGUGCUCGAGUGGCGAACGGGUGAGUAACACGUGAGUAACCUGCCCUUGACUUUGGGAUAACUUCAGGAAACUGGGGCUACUACCGGAUAGGAGCUCCUGCUGCAUGGUGGGGGUUGGAAAGUUUCGGCGGUUGGGGAUGGACUCGCGGCUUAUCAGCUUGUUGGUGGGGUAGUGGCUUACCAAGGCAUUGACGGGUAGCCGGCCUGAGAGGGUGACCGGCCACAAUAGGACUGAGAUACGGACCAGACUCCUACGGGAGGCAGUAGGGGGGAAUAUUGCACAAUGGGCGGAAGCCUGAGGCAGAAACGCCGCGUGCGGGAUGACGGCCUUCGGGGUGUAAACCGCUGUCGCCUGUGACGAAGCGGGAGUGACGGUAAUGGAUAAAGAAGCACCGGCUAACUACGUG
Molecule: ribosomal RNA, 468 nt
Filed under: uncultured bacterium
Lineage: Bacteria
Description: partial 16S ribosomal RNA
Rfam family: Bacterial small subunit ribosomal RNA
Source: RNAcentral